UGCAUUCACUACUGUAAGUCGCGCUGGAUAAGAGCGUCUGCUAAAUGACUAAAA
Molecule: non-coding RNA, 54 nt
Organism: Salmo salar (Atlantic salmon)
Lineage: Eukaryota; Metazoa; Chordata; Actinopteri; Salmoniformes; Salmonidae
Source: Rfam